UGAUACGUAGGUGGCGAGCGUUAUCCGGAUUUACUGGGCGUAAAGAGGGCGCGGGCGGUUUUUCAAGUCGGAUGUAAAAUCUCCCAGCUUAACUGGGAGGGACCAUUCGAUACUGUUAAACUAGAGGACAACAGGGGGAGGUAGAAUUCCCGGUGUAGUGGUGAAAUGCGUAGAUAUCGGGAGGAAUACCAGUGGCGAAGGCGGCCUCCUGGGUUGUUGCUGACGCUUAAGCCCGAAGGCGUGGGGAGCAAACAGGAUUAGAUACCCUGGUAGUCCACGCUGUAAACUAUGGACACUGGGUAUAGGGAGUAUCGACCCUCUCUGUGCCGAAGCUAACGCGUUAAGUGUCCCGUCUGGGGACUACGGCCGCAAGGUUA
Molecule: ribosomal RNA, 377 nt
Filed under: uncultured Chloroflexota bacterium
Lineage: Bacteria; Bacillati; Chloroflexota
Description: bacterial SSU rRNA
Rfam family: Bacterial small subunit ribosomal RNA
Source: RNAcentral